Pelobates cultripes (western spadefoot toad) is the source of this 225-nucleotide non-coding RNA. NCBI's taxonomy places the organism in Eukaryota, Metazoa, Chordata, Amphibia, Anura, Pelobatidae. The record is from the annotation of a GenBank genome assembly.
UUACCUCUUCGUGUCAUUGGUGGUCAGUGUUGGUUGGCGGAAAUUCGUGACCUACCUACGUCACGUAAAGUGACGUAAUGAAUGACCGCAUGCUUCACUCAUCACCAAUCGCGCAGCGUUACGGUCCGCAUCAACCACUCCCUCCGGCGGGAAGAGGAAAUCCAGCUGGCGAGGGCGGCUGGGAGCGGAAUUGUAUAUCAUGUACUACGUCCACCCGCUCCCUGG